GGUUCGAUGGCGUAGUUGGUUAUCGCAUCUGUCUAACAUUGUAUGUUUGCACAGAAGGUCCUCAGUUCGAGCCUGGGUCGAAUCA
Gymnopus androsaceus JB14 is the source of this 85-nucleotide non-coding RNA. NCBI's taxonomy places the organism in Eukaryota, Fungi, Basidiomycota, Agaricomycetes, Agaricales, Omphalotaceae. The record is from the annotation of a GenBank genome assembly.